Molecule: ribosomal RNA, 644 nt
Filed under: Maladera orientalis
Lineage: Eukaryota; Metazoa; Arthropoda; Insecta; Coleoptera; Scarabaeidae
Description: eukaryotic LSU rRNA
Rfam family: Eukaryotic large subunit ribosomal RNA
Source: RNAcentral
GGACCAAGGAGUCUAGCAUGUGCGCGAGUCAUUGGGAUUUUUACUAAACCUAAAGGCGCAAUGAAAGUGAAGGUCCGCCUUGCGCGGACCGAGGGAGGAUGGACCGUUCCGAGGGACGGCCUCGCACUCCCGGGGCGUCUCGCUCUCAUCGCGAGAAGAGGCGCACCCAGAGCGUACACGCUGGGACCCGAAAGAUGGUGAACUAUGCCUGGUCAGGACGAAGUCAGGGGAAACCCUGAUGGAGGUCCGUAGCGAUUCUGACGUGCAAAUCGAUCGUCGGAACUGGGUAUAGGGGCGAAAGACUAAUCGAACCAUCUAGUAGCUGGUUCCCUCCGAAGUUUCCCUCAGGAUAGCUGGCGCUCGCUUCUCGCGAGUCUCAUUCGGUAAAGCGAAUGAUUAGAGGCAUUGGGGUCGAAACGGCCUCAACCUAUUCUCAAACUUUAAAUGGGUGAGAUCUCCGGCUUGCUUGAACUGUGAAGCCGCGAGAUAUCGGAUCAGAGUGCCAAGUGGGCCACUUUUGGUAAGCAGAACUGGCGCUGUGGGAUGAACCAAACGCCGAGUUAAAGCGCCUAAAUCGACGCUUAUGGGAUACCAUGAAAGGCGUUGGUAACUUAAGACAGCAGGACGGUGGCCAUGGAAGUCGG